GACAGAGGGGGCAAGCGUUGCUCGGAAUCACUGGGCGUAAAGGGCGCGUAGGCGGGAUGGCAAGUCAGUCGUGAAAUCUCUCGGCUCAACCGAGAAACGUCGGCUGAUACUGCCGUUCUUGAGGGAUGCAGAGGAGACUGGAAUUCCCGGUGUAGAGGUGAAAUUCGUAGAUAUCGGGAGGAACACCAGUGGCGAAGGCGGCGACCUGGACGGACACUGACGCUGAGACGCGAAAGCGUGGGGAGCAAACAGG
RNAcentral lists this ribosomal RNA (253 nucleotides) under uncultured prokaryote. RNAcentral's name for it is "partial 16S ribosomal RNA". It matches the Rfam family "Bacterial small subunit ribosomal RNA", at positions 524 to 776 of the family's 1533-position model. The record is from RNAcentral.